This is a non-coding RNA of Nerophis lumbriciformis (worm pipefish), 415 nucleotides long. NCBI's taxonomy places the organism in Eukaryota, Metazoa, Chordata, Actinopteri, Syngnathiformes, Syngnathidae. The record is from RefSeq and is a predicted model, not a curated record.
GUUCAGGGACUGAGAUAGAUGAUGAUGUUUUUGAGGAAAUUGUGAAGGAUCCAUCCACUGGGGUACUAACCAUCAAAUACGAAACAGAAUCUGUCUCCAAAGUCCCAAUCAUCCGUUUGUUCAUCGGACUCAGACACAAUCAUCCUUGAAGACACUCCUACCAGAAAGCGUCAGAGGCUGGACUUUGAAGCUGUGCAACUGGUGAAAUCCAUUCUUACCAAGAAAUCGGGUGGAGAAUAUUUAAUAAAUGAAUACAACCGAACUAAGUCCUUGACAGAUGAGAGCAGAAGAAAAUUGGUGAAUAUACUGGCAGCUGAGAUGACGGAGAAGAAUGGACAGGUGAAGGAAAUGUAUGCACAAGGAAUUGUAAACUUGUUCCCCAACCUCAAAGACCCAUUUUUCAAGAAUGGCUAUG